UGGUUAACAGAGGUGGUGUCAGCCUUGGAAGUCAUGUGAAGAAGAUGGCAGAUCUUCCAACUUGGAUCCCUCAAUGACUAUAUGAAAUAGUCACUACUUGAUCUAAUGAGAUGGUUAAAUACUCUUCGUUGUCCACUGAGGCCUCCAAGGUCACUACCAGUGACAGUGAGUGGAGUUAGGAAACGUGCUCCCACCAUGUGAAAGGUGAGCAGAAAAGAGGAGAAAUCCAUUGAAUGCCACCACAGCUGAGAAUGGCAGGAAACAGCUUAACUUAACAGAUGUGCAGGCACAGAAGAUUUGGGCCUACUGAGGCACUGAUGAGGGGCCCUAAGAGAGAAGCCUUCAUGGACUUCAGAAAUGCGUAGGAAGGAGCGUCUGGGUGGCUCAGUCAAGCAUCCAACGUUGGCUUAGGUCAUGAUGCCGCGGUUCAUGAGUUUGAGCCCUGUGUAGGGCUCUGUGCUGACAGCUCAGGCCUGGAGACUGCUUUAGAUUCUGUGUCUCAGCCCUC
This is a long non-coding RNA of Panthera uncia (snow leopard), 508 nucleotides long. RefSeq lists it as uncharacterized. NCBI's taxonomy places the organism in Eukaryota, Metazoa, Chordata, Mammalia, Carnivora, Felidae. The transcript is spliced from 3 exons. The record is from RefSeq and is a predicted model, not a curated record.